UACGUAGGGGGCAAGCGUUGUCCGGAAUUAUUGGGCGUAAAGGGCUCGUAGGCGGUUUGUCGCGUCGGGGAGUGAAAACUCAGGGCUUAACCCUGAGCCUGCUUCCGAUACGGGCAGACUAGAGGUAUGCAGGGGAGAACGGAAUUCCUGGUGUAGCGGUGAAAUGCGCAGAUAUCAGGAGGAACACCGGUGGCGAAGGCGGUUCUCUGGGCAUUACCUGACGCUGAGGAGCGAAAGUGUGGGGAGCGAACAGG
Molecule: ribosomal RNA, 254 nt
Filed under: uncultured bacterium
Lineage: Bacteria
Description: partial 16S ribosomal RNA
Rfam family: Bacterial small subunit ribosomal RNA
Source: RNAcentral